UAGGUGGAAAUAUUUGAUUACCGGCUGGU
RNAcentral lists this non-coding RNA (29 nucleotides) under Rattus norvegicus (Norway rat). Lineage: Eukaryota; Metazoa; Chordata; Mammalia; Rodentia; Muridae. The record is from RNAcentral.